RNAcentral lists this ribosomal RNA (253 nucleotides) under uncultured bacterium. RNAcentral describes it as "partial 16S ribosomal RNA". It matches the Rfam family "Bacterial small subunit ribosomal RNA", at positions 524 to 776 of the family's 1533-position model. The record is from RNAcentral.
UACGCAGGUGGCGAGCGUUGUCCGGAUUUACUGGGCGUAAAGAGCGCGCAGGCGGCUGGUCAAGUCCGAUGUGAAAGCUCCCGGCUUAACUGGGAAAUUGCAUCGGAAACUGAUCGGCUGGAAGGUGGGAGAGGGUAGCGGAAUUCCCGGUGUAGUGGUGAAAUGCGUAGAUAUCGGGAGGAACACCAGUGGCGAAAGCGGCUACCUGGCCCAUUCUUGACGCUGAGGCGCGAAAGCUAGGGGAGCAAACGGG